GCCACUGCACCCAAACUAGAUUUAACCAUAUUUUUUAUAAAGGGAGGGGUGUGUGUGUGUGUGUUUCACUACUGUUUCCUCUCCUCCAAUUUUUUCUACCUUGAAGUCUAUGUUCUGAAUCAUUUUUUUAUUUACAGUCAUUUUCCCAGAACAUUGCUUGGUGAUUUUUCAUCUGAAUUUUUACAUUUUAACAAGUAUCAUUCUUCCAUUUUGGUUGGUGAAUGAUUGGAUGUAGGAUUUGAGGGUUGUAUGGCUUUUCUCUCAGAGAUAUUGUAAGGGUCCUUGCUGAGUUUAAAAUGAGGAAACUGAGGCCAGUAUAAGUAAAUUAAAUGCCAAUUUAUUCAGCUCCCAGGUGAGGUUCUGUGGUCCCGGGGAAAGGGGCCAGAGAAGUCACACUGACUUCCUGAGGCGUAGGCUGUUUAUAGCUAUAGAGAGCGAGGAGGAGCAGGGUGUUCUGAUUGGUUAUGGGGGAGCGGGGCGUGGAUGGGACAAGCUGCUGUUGGUAGGUAGAUUGUUGGGUGGGAUUUCCCUAAUGCAAGAUCCGGCUUGGGUUACAUUAGCCGGAUCCUUCCAGGAGAGCAUGUGCUCCUGAGGUAGGUUCCGGGCGCAGAGAUGGGUGGGUGUGUCCGAGCUCCUGGGGAGACAACCGGCCUUACAUUCCGACCCUUUUGAUGAUAUAGGAUACCGCUUCUUUCUGGCUACUUCCUGCUGAAUAGGGACGGAGUGAGGGGGAGGGGUCAGUUGGCUGGUGCCUCGGUUGGGAGUUGGACAUAGGGGUGAAACAGUAUCUGGUUUACGGCCACCCUGGAAAUUUCCCUUAUGCGGGCCUGUAAAAA
Long non-coding RNA from Sapajus apella (tufted capuchin), 836 nucleotides. RefSeq lists it as uncharacterized. The record is from RefSeq and is a predicted model, not a curated record. The transcript is spliced from 2 exons. NCBI's taxonomy places the organism in Eukaryota, Metazoa, Chordata, Mammalia, Primates, Cebidae.